CAAUAGCGUAUAUUAAAGUUGUUGCAGUUAAAAAGCUCGUAGUUGGAUUUCUGGUGGGAGUGAUCGGUCUGGCGCUUAGCGCGAGUACUUGCAUCGUCUCCGGCCAUCCUUGGGGAGAGUCUGUCUGGCAUUAGGUUGUCGGGCAGAGGAUCCUCAUCGUUUACUGUGAAAAAAUUAGAGUGUUCAAAGCAGGCUUAUGCCGUUGAAUAUAUUAGCAUGGAAUAAUAAGAUAGGACUUUGGUACUAUUUUGUUGGUUUGCGCACCAAAGUAAUGAUUAAUAGGGACAGUUGGGGGUAUUCGUAUUCCGUUGUCAGAGGUGAAAUUCUUGGAUUUACGGAAGACGAACUACUGCGAAAGCAUUUACCAAGGAUGUUUUCAUUAA
This 383-nucleotide ribosomal RNA is filed under the name uncultured eukaryote. RNAcentral's name for it is "partial 18S ribosomal RNA". It matches the Rfam family "Eukaryotic small subunit ribosomal RNA", at positions 592 to 976 of the family's 1831-position model. The record is from RNAcentral.